UGGGGAAUAUUGGACAAUGGGGGGAACCCUGAUCCAGCCAUGCCGCGUGUGUGAAGAAGGCCUUAUGGUUGUAAAGCACUUUAAGCGAGGAGGAGGGUACUGGUAUUAAUACUACCAGGUACUGGACGUUACUCGCAGAAUAAGCACCGGCUAACUCUGUGCCAGCAGCCGCGGUAAUACAGAGGGUGCGAGCGUUAAUCGGAUUUACUGGGCGUAAAGCGUGCGUAGGCGGCUAAUUGAGUCGGAUGUGAAAUCCCGGAGCUUAACUUGGGAAUUGCAUUCGAUACUGGUUAGCUAGAGUGUGGGAGAGGAUGGUAGAAUUCCAGGUGUAGCGGUGAAAUGCGUAGAGAUCUGGAGGAAUACCGAUGGCGAAGGCAGCCAUCUGGCCUAACACUGACGCUGAGGUACGAAAGCAUGGGGAGCAAACAGG
This 430-nucleotide ribosomal RNA is filed under the name Pseudomonadota bacterium. RNAcentral's name for it is "Proteobacteria bacterium partial 16S ribosomal RNA". It matches the Rfam family "Bacterial small subunit ribosomal RNA", at positions 355 to 776 of the family's 1533-position model. The record is from RNAcentral. Lineage: Bacteria; Pseudomonadati; Pseudomonadota.